Molecule: long non-coding RNA, 1328 nt
Organism: Vicia villosa (hairy vetch)
Lineage: Eukaryota; Viridiplantae; Streptophyta; Magnoliopsida; Fabales; Fabaceae
Exons: 4
Source: RefSeq, a predicted model, not a curated record
UAGAAAGGGGAAUUAGGGUUUACCUGGUAUGAAUCCUGAGAUACUCGGACUCUCUCUUCUCCCGCGUACACGUGAACGGCGCGGCGGACUACUUCUUCUCCGAUGAACGGAACCGCAGCGCCACCAUGAGGCCAUCACGUAACGACCUUCACUUCUCUCUCUCAGCAUCUCCGAUCUUCUUUCUGCUUCUGUAUUCGGAUUCACGAUAAUGAUUAGGUUGAUGAUGAUAACAGCUCAGGUAACGGUAAUUUGUUCUUGUUCAUAGCACUCGGAUCGGCGAAGCUUUGUUGAUGCGUGCGGAGGUUAUUGGUGGAAGAUUGCGAGCGGUUAUAGUGAAGAGAAAAAUCGAGAUUGAAGAGUGAAGGAAGAGAGUUAUGGUUCGAGGAAGAAGGAGAUUUGAGGAAGACUGAAGAAUUGAAGGUUCCAGGUUCAAUCGCAAGUUCUCUUUUUGAUUUUUCCGUGUCAAUUUGUUCUUCUCCUUUUCUCUGUAUUAUCGAUUCUCUUCCCCUCUCUGUUAGUGAUGGUUGAAGGUGAGAAAAAAUGGAGAGUUGAAGGUGAUGAAGAUGAUAGAGUGAAGGAAGUGAAUUGAAGAUGAUGAAGAUCAGAAGAUGAAGAAGAUGCUGAUGAAUGAAUGGAGAUGGAAAUGGUGGAGAAAGAUGAAGAUGUGUGAAGGUGGUGAGUGAAGAAUGGUUGGAAGUGGUGUGUGUGAAGGUGGAUGAAUGGAAAAAUGGCGUGAGAUUUUGGAUUGUGGAGGGAAGUUUGAAUUUAUAGAGGAGGUGAAGGUGAAUGUUAGUUAUGGAGGAGAACUGGGAGCCGUUAGAUUGAGUGAGGUAGUUAUGAAACUGAGGGUGUAGAUUGAGUCAGUUGGAUUCAGUUAGGGGCUUGUUGUGACAAAGCCAACCGAUUCAGGAUCAGUUUGAGAUUGAUACAACGCUGCCAGUUUUGCUGCCCAUAAGUCUCUUAUCAAGUUGCUGGAUCUGACGGUAUGCUAGUCGGUCGGGAAGCGCAUCUGAUGGUAAUAUCCUCAAGCGGAACAAAGGCACUGAACUGGAAUUUGAUUUAAUUGCAGACUGGUUCAUGAGCCGAUACGAUUCAAUUUUGUGGCGCGGUUUCGGACUGACAAAUGGUUUGUUUAGUUCACUUUUAUGAAGUUGAAUGCUGAACUGGUUUAUGCUGAUGCUGCAAGGAGUUUGGGCAUGGAUUGUGAUUGUAAUAACAGGCUCCUUAUUUUUGUACCUUUUCCAAUGGUGUGAUAAAGUUGUAAUGGUUUAUGAAUAUCUCGUGUAAUUUUGAAAUAAUGUGAUGAAUGGACUUUCUCUUCUAUUUUC